GAUAAACAUAUGGUUAAAUUAAAGGUGUUCUCACACAGUUUGAAUUGUACAAUAUACUAGGUGUCCACAUCCAGGUAGCAUACUAGCAUUUUUGUUAUUAUGAAACAUUUUUGUACUUUUAUUAUAAUCUGCUGAGCCUAGAGUUGGGCAAUUUGUAUAUUUAUUAUGACAAUCUUUUGGCGAAUGGUAGCAGAGCAUCUUGUUUUAACAAAAUUAUUGUUAUCACGACAAUUAGCCAGCAGGUACAAGAAUACAUCUUGUUCCAACAAAGUAAAUAUAUCUCUUUCAAUUUCAAAUUAAAAGGAAUAAAGUCAGUAACAGUGAGACCUUGCUGGUACAAGCAUAUGUAACAUGACCUGUGCUUUGCUGUUCAUGAUCAAAACUUCCUUACUUUUACUUUUUAUCUAUGGUAGGACCACCCAGAGCAGGUAUCCACAACUCCCAGGCCACAGACUGGUACCAGUCCAUGGCCUUUUUGGAACCACGCCACACAGGAGGAGGUGAGCAUCAGGCAAGCCAGAGAAGCUUCAUCUGUAUUUAUAGCCAUGCCCCAUGGCUCAUAUUACCACCUAAGCUCCGCCUCCUGUCAGAUCAGUGGUAGCAUUAGAUACUCAUGGGAGCGUGAACCCUGUUGUUAACUGCCCAUGCGAGGGAUCUAGGUUGUGUGCUUCUUAUGAGAAUCUAAUGCCUGAUGGUCUGUCACUGUCUCCCUUUGCCCCCAGAUGGGACCAUUUAAUUGCAGGAAAACAAGCUCAGAGAUUCCACUCAUUCUACAUUAUGGAUAUGUGCAGCCGAAGCAAGCACAAAGCCCCACUUUUACACAUGGACAGUGAUGAGUCACGAACAAGAUUUGGCUCUCAGUCUAACUAACCUACUUGAGAUCUCGAGAAUUAUCUCCAAAGGUUUCCUGUGAGGUAGAAUUAGAAAAUAUUUUUAAAUCUUGAGGAAGAGAUGCAAGUAGCUUGGGAGAUUUUCAUUAUCAUGGAAAAUAGAUCACUCAAGGGGCCAACCACAACUGGGUGCCCACUGCUCUAGGGAAGGUUAACAUGGGGCUUUCUACUGCCUAAGGUACUAUACAGGAUAUAAAGGUGCCUCAGUGUAUGUAUCUGGUAGCAAAGAAGAAGAAACAAACACUGAUGUCUUUCUGCCACAUUAUUUGAACCUCUCUGACAGUUUAGAACAAGCCCAACUAAUAUCUGCUAGAGAAAAGACCAACACAGGACUCAAAAGAUCUCUUAACAUGAAGUUCUCAGUUAAGUCUAGGAUAAGAUGUGGGUUCCACAUCAGGUUUUGAAUGUGGGGGGAAUUGAAAAACUGAUGGUAGGAAGGAAAAGGUAUUAUUCUGUAAGCUGAUAGAUACUGCCAAUAAUAUUCAUUUUAAUGUCCCAAUCACAGAGAUAAAAGUCAAAUUAGGCCAGGCGUGGUGUCACACCUGUAAUCCCAGCAUUUUGAGAGGCUGAGGUGGAAUUGCUUGAGCCCAGGAGUUCAAGACCAGCCUGGGAAACAUGGCAAAAACCCCAUCUCUACUAAAAAAAAAAAAAAAAACUUUAAGCCAAAGGAAACUUGGGGUUCAAAUGAAUAGGUAUUGCUCAUUUUUUCAAUACUUAGAUUUAUAGAAUAUAUGUAAAUCAGAUAUUUCCAAUGAUAAAUACUAGGAUUUGAAAGGCCACACCCACCUGGGGAAAUUCCACUCCCACCCGGCGGGGGGAAGCCCACACCCACCCCACGCCCACCCAGGGAAGCCCACGCCCACCUGGGGAAAGGCCAAGCCCCUCCACCCACCCGCCAAGGAAACCCCCAGCCCAGCCAGGGGAAUGCCAAGCCCAGCCAAGAAAAGGUCAAGCCCAGCAAAGGAAUGCACAGGGAGGAAAUGCCAAUCCACGCGAGGACCACGAAGCGAAGCGACCAACGCCAAGCCAAGCAUGGAACGCCAAGUCAAGAGACCAACACCAAGCCAAGCGACGAACGCCAAGCCAAGCCGUUACAUACGCAUGCGCAGAACACCAAGCCAAGCUGCUGCGGCGUGCGCGUGCGGCGUACCUCAGAUGGCAAGUUACUGCACGUGGCAGUGUCCGACGUGUGCAACCCGCGUGCUUGUAAGUUCUGGUGCCACAAAUGUCAGUGACAGCCUUGUGUUCCCGCCAGACCUCGUGGAAACUGGCCAAGCUUCAGGCCAUUGAUAAGGAGAGGCAGCCCGUGGGAAAAGGCGUCUACAAGCAGGACUGGGGCCAGAGCGCCUGGUACUUGAGGAUGCUGACUGUCUCCUCUGAAGAAAGCCCCGAAGACACUCGUGGCGGUGCUGUGCCCAGGUGGCCGCGGCUGCAGGGGAGGGGCAGCCUGGCGGAACUCGCUGCAAAUGGCCUCAAAAUCGUGGAACAUAAGCCGCCCACGGUCUCCAGGCCCUGCUGAGCGGGGGGAGGAGCACGAGCACCUACCACUGACGGUGAGAUGCAGAAAGGCAUCCCUAUGUGCAGAUCCUGGGAACAGGAUGCUUUAAGCCCCAGGGAGCCAGAUCAGGCAACCCUGUCAGCACAGUUGAGCUGGACCCGGGCAGUGGCUCUGUGACCCUCCUGCAGGGACCCUCCUGCUACACAGCUCCACGUGGCCAGGCUCCAGGGUGCUCACCCAAACAGCAAGCGCUUUGGUGUGGGAUGAAAAAUGGAUUCCGAACCUAGGACACAGACCUGCUCUUGCCAACAAAAGUAGAGAGGAAGACAAUUAGGAGUGCAAAAAGAAUGUAUUCUUUUGUAACUCAAGUCUUGCCUGAUCUGGAGGGUUAAGCUAAGGCUCCUCUUGCUUGAUACUAAAUGAACUUUUGAAUGAAAUAGAGAAAAAGAAAGAAGACACACACACUAAAUCGCCUUGUCCCACUGUGAUCCCCUGAGCCAGCAAGCAAGGGGAGGCCUGGCCUCCUGGGCCCUCUCCCCACCUGAGGGCAGAGCAGUUUCCUCCAGGGUUGCAGGGAGCAGCUGGGCUCCGUGGGCUGGGCCACCCUUCCUUCGUUUAUGGGCAUCCCCACACCUGCACUCCCCCACGCAGAGUUCCAUGAUCUGGGUUCAAAUCCCAGCUCCGACCCUCAGCACCUGUGCCACCUGGCAAAUGCCUUACCCCCACGCACUUGCUGUGUCCUUCUCGACAGGAGGGAUGGGAGCCGGUGUCCCUGGCAUGCAGCGUUGUGACAGUCAAACACAAGCGGGAGCAGGCAGACACGUGGACAGGGGCCUGGCUGCUGGGGGUGCUCACCAGAGGGCAUCAACCCAUCUGCCCAGGUGGUCUUGCAAGUCUCAGCACUUAUUAGGCACCUGACUAUGGUAGACAGCUGAACAAAGCCCUGAGCUGCCCUGGGGAAUAUGACCAGGGUGAUGGACCAGGAAGGACAGUUGGGGUGCUUGGCAUGAGUAAGGAGGGGCCAGAGAAAUGCCAGUCUCUCCCCACCAGCUAUGGGUCAUGGAUCAUCUGUAUGGGGCACCCUCAGUGGGCUGAGAACCCAGAGAUGCCACAAGGUUUGGCCGCAUCCUAGGCUUCCUGAAUUCCAGCCCAGCCAUGGCCCAGGCUUGGGGGUACUUUGGGCUCUUAGUUGGGAUGAGGAGGGGCCAGGUGACACUCCUCAUAUGUCCCAGGAUCUGAUCAAGAAAGUGGUGCCCUGUCACUGCCUGGGACCAUCUGGUCUCAGUGAAACAAUUAGGGCAGGAAGACCCUAGCACCCACCUUCUGGGCCACGAACACCCAGGUCCACAGUGUGGCCACCUGAGUCAGCACCACUUGCCUUGGGAGCCAGAGCAUGAAGGCCCAGACAAGACUAGCAUGGUGGAGCAGUGGAUGCAGGUACGCAG
RNAcentral lists this long non-coding RNA (3833 nucleotides) under Homo sapiens (human). RNAcentral describes it as "HSALNT0136343". The record is from RNAcentral. Lineage: Eukaryota; Metazoa; Chordata; Mammalia; Primates; Hominidae.